AGCACAGUAAGCUAAUUAAGCUUUUGGGUCCAUACCCCAAUCAAUGUUGGUUAAAGUCCUUCCUAUGCUA
RNAcentral lists this transfer RNA (70 nucleotides) under Cromeria nilotica (naked shellear). RNAcentral's name for it is "tRNA-Met". It matches the Rfam family "tRNA". From Rfam's summary of the family: Transfer RNA (tRNA) molecules are approximately 80 nucleotides in length. Their secondary structure includes four short double-helical elements and three loops (D, anti-codon, and T loops). Lineage: Eukaryota; Metazoa; Chordata; Actinopteri; Gonorynchiformes; Kneriidae. The record is from RNAcentral.